GUCUCUCACACAAUCGGUUUUCACCCUGGUCUGAGAGUGAACUAUGUCUGAGAUCAUCGUGAAAGCUAGUUGUGGUUGGACU
Molecule: microRNA precursor, 82 nt
Filed under: Nippostrongylus brasiliensis
Lineage: Eukaryota; Metazoa; Nematoda; Chromadorea; Rhabditida; Heligmosomidae
Description: mir-81 microRNA precursor family
Rfam family: mir-81 microRNA precursor family
Source: Rfam by way of RNAcentral